Pelobates cultripes (western spadefoot toad) is the source of this 211-nucleotide non-coding RNA. Lineage: Eukaryota; Metazoa; Chordata; Amphibia; Anura; Pelobatidae. The record is from the annotation of a GenBank genome assembly.
CUAGACUUUAACAAGGUUUUUCUACUUUACCUCUUUUAAUUUCCAAUUUCUGUCAUUCCUCAUAAAUGGUGUAUGUAGCGGAAUACCUGGUAGCCCGACUGGUUACCUGUGCUAUUUCUCUUCCUUCAGCUGAACAGGAACCAUUUAGGAUAAAGAGACCCAUUUCCCCCCCAGUAACUGGACGUCACCCAGUUCUGGAGGUACAACAACC